GGGAGGGGGAUGAAGGAAGAUGGAACUCAGCCAAAUUUCCAAAUUAUUUCCCCCCCCUCUUCCUUUUAAAUACACAGAAAUUGACAUUCUUUCCACACGGAAAGUGCUUGAACUGUAUGUUUUUGUAACAUAUCUUUUCAUUGACAAAGUCACGGCUGCUCUCUGUAAUCACCGGUAUGGCAGGAAAGCGGCAUCCUUUGGGGGAAACCAUCCGAGAGGAGAGGGGAGCUUUUCUUCUUCUGUUUUUUUUUUUUUUUUUUAACAUGUGGGUCAGCUUUUAACAACAGUCUUUGGUCUCUCAACUGAAAAUAGACCCUCAUAUUGUUCUGGUGUUCUUCAGACCACAAAGUCCCUCACACCCAUUUCUCACAAAGUUUUUAGAGCAAACAAAGAAAAGCCAGGAGGCUGCUCCAACCGGACAUGAAACAUGUUUACGAUCAUGUAAAAAAAAAAUAGCGGCUAUAAAAUUAAACUGUAAUAUAACCUGAGGCCAUCGAGUCAAAAUACUUGGUAGAACAUAAGUGCACAACUUAUAUCCAGGAUCACUUUGGAGUACAUACUUUCUUUUGAAUUUGAAGGAACUCCUUUCAUGUGCCGUGCUGAUUUACUGCUACGUCCUAAUUCGUGCUUAACUUAUAGUUUUUGGUACUUGUUCAGGUCAUAUGCCCAUUCCGAACUCGUCUUGCGUUUGUGAGUCACGCAGAUGAAAUGUUGCUCUCUUUCCAGCAGACACUGUUAAUCCACAGAAAGGGGCACAGCUGUAUUUAACAGAUGUUCUAUUAAAUGUGCGCAGCCUUGUGCUCUGUGUUGUCGGGAAAAUGCCUCAAAGACACCGACGAAUACAUCGCAGAGGCGUCUCCUUUAAAGUGGUGACACGUUCUGUGGAUGACAAGUCCCCAGUCCGGCUCUCAGCAUGAGCUGCAUGACUAUUAUCACUGUCUACUCUUUUAAACCUCAAACUUCCUUUAUGGUAAAUCGAGCUUUUGUUUUCUGAGGGUACUUUCAUUUGGCUACAUUCACUGCUGUUAUUUAAAAAGAAUAGUGGGAUAUUUUGGAAAAUACGUUGUUUGACAUAGAACUUGAUUGAGAGUUAAUACCCUCAUAUGCGGAUUAAAGUGUUACUUUUGGGAAAGUGCACUUUAAAAAAAAUGUUUGUACCAAAAGUCAAAUGAAAUCAUUGGCCUCCCACUAUUGCCUGGAUGGUAAAUAUGAAUAGGAAGUUUAGCAACUAAGUUAGCAUUAAGACGCGGAUUUGUUUUUUUCUUAUCACCCCACCGGGACCUCUAAAAGUCCCAGUGUAACAAGCCACGUUUUGAUUGUCUUACAUCUACAGAAAAUAAAAAGUAAAAAUCACAAGUUGUUUCACAAGCAGUUACUUGAAGGCUGAUCUGUCACUGCACCAAUUUACUACAAAUAAAACAGUCCAACCCAUAGAACCCCCUUAAAACAAUUAUUUUACAGUUCUUGUUUUUUAAGUGUUCAACAAAGCAAAUAAAACAUUUUGAUGGUGAGCUUAA
Long non-coding RNA from Gasterosteus aculeatus aculeatus (three-spined stickleback), 1517 nucleotides. Lineage: Eukaryota; Metazoa; Chordata; Actinopteri; Perciformes; Gasterosteidae. The record is from Ensembl.